This 806-nucleotide ribosomal RNA is filed under the name uncultured rumen protozoa. RNAcentral's name for it is "bacterial SSU rRNA". The stretch from base 1 to 657 matches the Rfam family "Eukaryotic small subunit ribosomal RNA", at positions 329 to 1116 of the family's 1831-position model. The record is from RNAcentral.
GAGAAGCUAGGGGUUGGGUGAUGCCGUCCGGGACGGAUAGGGACGAUUCUGGAGAAGGAGCCUGAGAACGGCUACUACUCUACGGAAGGCAGCAGGCGCGUAAUUACCCAAUCCUGACUAGGGAGGUGGUGACAAGAUAUAACAACAACGAUGCAAAUCGUGAUUGUAGUGAGGGUAUUCUAAACCGAACCACUAGUACGAUUAGAGGGCAAGUCUGGUGCCAGCAGCCGCGGUAAUUCCAGCUCUAAUAGCGUAUAUUAAAGUUGCUGCAGUUAAAAGCUCGUAGUUGGAUUUCAAGGACAGCUUUACCUCUUUGAGGUAGGCUUUCUUUCUAGUCUUUGACUGUACUGUGAGAAAAUUAGAGUGUUUAAAGCAGGCUUUCGCAAGAUUACAUUAGCAUGGAAUAACGAUGUGUUAGAUCUUGGUUAUUCUAAUUACGAUAAGAGACGCGUGGGGGCAUUAGUAUUAGCAGAGGGAAUCUUGGAUUGUCACCACUACUCUCCCGCUAUAUCAUUUGCCAGGAUGUUUUCGUAAUCAGACCACCCACCCGCGCACCCACCCAUCUGAUACUGUUGUAGUCUAUCUAUAACCAUGCCGACCACGAUUGAAUGAAAUAUACAUUUCAGUACCUUAUGAAAAUCAAGUCUUUGGGUCCUGGGGGAGUAUGUCUCAUAGCCUCAAUCUACUAAUUGACUGAUUUCCCACCAGAUGAACCGCGCUAUGACCACCGGGAACUUACAGCGACUUGAAGAUGCAAUGAGCUUCUGAUUCAUGGGGGGGGCAUGCGUCUAUGGGAAGAUUGCUGC